This 385-nucleotide ribosomal RNA is filed under the name uncultured bacterium. Its description in RNAcentral is "bacterial SSU rRNA". It matches the Rfam family "Bacterial small subunit ribosomal RNA", at positions 29 to 417 of the family's 1533-position model. The record is from RNAcentral.
AUUGAACGCUGGCGGCAUGCCUUACACAUGCAAGUCGAACGGUAACGCGGGGCAACCUGGCGACGAGUGGCGAACGGGUGAGUAACGCAUCGGAACGUGCCCAGUAGUGGGGGAUAGCCCGGCGAAAGCCGGAUUAAUACCGCAUACGACCUCAGGGUGAAAGCGGGGGAUCGCAAGACCUCGCGCUAUUGGAGCGGCCGAUGUCAGAUUAGGUAGUUGGUGGGGUAAAAGCCUACCAAGCCUGCGAUCUGUAGCUGGUCUUAGAGGGCGACCAGCCACACUGGGACUGAGACACGGCCCAGACUCCUACGGGAGGCAGCAGUGGGGAAUUUUGGACAAUGGGCGAAAGCCUGAUCCAGCCAUGCCGCGUGCGGGAAGAAGGCCU